GCCCCGGACCAAGGCGCCCGCCGGAGGACCAAAAAAAACUCUUUUUGUAUACCCCCUCGCGGGUUUUUUAUAAUCUGAGCCUUCUCGGCGCCUCUCGUAGGCGUUUCGAAAAUGAAUCAAAACUUUCAACAACGGAUCUCUUGGUUCUGGCAUCGAUGAAGAACGCAGCGAAAUGCGAUAAGUAAUGUGAAUUGCAGAAUUCAGUGAAUCAUCGAAUCUUUGAACGCACAUUGCGCCCGCCAGUAUUCUGGCGGGCAUGCCUGUCCGAGCGUCAUUUCAACCCUCGAACCCCUCCGGGGGGUCGGCGUUGGGGAUCGGCCCUGCCUCUUGGCGGUGGCCGUCUCCGAAAUACAGUGGCGGUCUCGCCGCAGCCUCUCCUGCGCAGUAGUUUGCACACUCGCAUCGGGAGCGCGGCGCGUCCACAGCCGUUAAACACCCAACUUCUGAAAUGUUGACCUCGGAUCAGGUAGGAAUACCCGCUGAACUUAAGCAUAUCAAUAAGCGGAGGA
This 509-nucleotide ribosomal RNA is filed under the name Trichoderma harzianum. Its description in RNAcentral is "eukaryotic LSU rRNA". The stretch from base 121 to 274 matches the Rfam family "5.8S ribosomal RNA". Lineage: Eukaryota; Fungi; Ascomycota; Sordariomycetes; Hypocreales; Hypocreaceae. The record is from RNAcentral.